Long non-coding RNA from Pygocentrus nattereri (red-bellied piranha), 198 nucleotides. The record is from Ensembl. Lineage: Eukaryota; Metazoa; Chordata; Actinopteri; Characiformes; Serrasalmidae.
AGGGAACUGAACGUGUCUAUGGCACUAAUGGGUCUAUGAAACUAUCUGGCCUAAUGCUAAUGCAUCUAUUGUCUUAACAGGUCUAUGCUGCUAAAGAGUCUAUGGCACUAACAGGGCUAUCACAGCAGUAAGACUAGUUGUUGGUAUUCAACAACCCUCCCACCACCACCACCACCACCACCAAAGGAAUAUGCUUUA